RNAcentral lists this ribosomal RNA (248 nucleotides) under uncultured bacterium. Its description in RNAcentral is "partial 16S ribosomal RNA". It matches the Rfam family "Bacterial small subunit ribosomal RNA", at positions 15 to 257 of the family's 1533-position model. The record is from RNAcentral.
GAUCAUGCUCAGGACGAACGCUGGCGGCGUGCCUAACACAUGCAAGUCGAGCGGAGACAGUGAGUAGCUUGCUAUGAGCUGUUUUAGCGGCGGACGGGUGAGUAACGCGUGAGCAACCUUUCCCAGACAGGGGAAUAACACACCGAAAGGUGUACUAAUACCGCAUAAGACCACGGAAUCACAUGGUUCUGAGGUAAAAGAUUUAUCGGUUUGGGGUGGGCUCGCGUCCGAUUAGGUAGUUGGUGAGG